GUCGAACGAGAAACCUCGAAUAGAAUCUCGGGAGGAAAGGAGAGGAGAAAGUGGCGAACGGGUGAGUAACGCGUGGGCAACCUACCUCACGGAAAGGGAUAGCCUCGGGAAACCGGGAGUAAAACCAUAUAAGACCACAGCGUCGCAUGACGCAGGGGUCAAAACUCCGGUGCCGUGAGAUGGGCCCGCGUCCCAUUAGCUAGUUGGCAGGGUAAAGGCCUACCAAGGCGACGAUGGGUAGCCGGUCUGAGAGGGCGAACGGCCACAUUGGAACUGAGACACGGUCCAAACUCCUACGGGAGGCAGCAGUGGGGAAUAUUGCGCAAUGGGGGAAACCCUGACGCAGCAAUACCGCGUGAGCGAAGAAGGUUUUUGGAUCGUAAAGCUCUGUUAUCGGGGAAGAAGAAGUGACGGUACCCGAUGAGGAAGUCCCGGCUAACUACGUGCCAGCAGCCGC
This 457-nucleotide ribosomal RNA is filed under the name uncultured bacterium. RNAcentral describes it as "bacterial SSU rRNA". It matches the Rfam family "Bacterial small subunit ribosomal RNA", at positions 61 to 518 of the family's 1533-position model. The record is from RNAcentral.